UGGGGAAUUUUGGACAAUGGGGGGAAACCCUGAUCCAGCCAUCCCGCGUGUGCGAUGAAGGCCUUCGGGUUGUAAAGCACUUUUGGCAGGAAAGAAACGUCGCGGGUUAAUACCCCGCGAAACUGACGGUACCUGCAGAAUAAGCACCGGCUAACUACGUGCCAGCAGCCGCGGUAAUACGUAGGGUGCAAGCGUUAAUCGGAAUUACUGGGCGUAAAGCGUGCGCAGGCGGUUCGGAAAGAAAGAUGUGAAAUCCCAGAGCUUAACUUUGGAACUGCAUUUUUAACUACCGGGCUAGAGUGUGUCAGAGGGAGGUGGAAUUCCGCGUGUAGCAGUGAAAUGCGUAGAUAUGCGGAGGAACACCGAUGGCGAAGGCAGCCUCCUGGGAUAACACUGAGCUCAUGCACGAAAGCGUGGGGAGCAAACAGGAUUAGAUACCCUGGUAGUCACGCCCUAAACGAUGUCAACUAGCUGUUGGGGCCUUCGGCCUUGGUAGGCGCCAGCUAACGCGUGAAGUUGACCGCCUGGGGAGUACGGUC
This 539-nucleotide ribosomal RNA is filed under the name uncultured bacterium. RNAcentral describes it as "partial 16S ribosomal RNA". It matches the Rfam family "Bacterial small subunit ribosomal RNA", at positions 355 to 887 of the family's 1533-position model. The record is from RNAcentral.